CCUACGGGCGGCAGCAGUAGGGAAUCUUCCACAAUGGACGAAAGUCUGAUGGAGCAACGCCGCGUGAGUGAAGAAGGGUUUCGGCUCGUAAAGCCCUGUUGGUAGUGAAGAAAGAUAGAGGUAGUAACUGGCCUUUAUUUGACGGUAAUUACUUAGAAAGUCACGGCUAACUACUUGCCAGCAGCCGCGGUAAUACGUAGGUUGCAAGCGUUGUCCGGAUUUAUUGGGCGUAAAGCGAGUGCAGGCGGUUCAAUAAGUCUGAUGUGAAAGCCUUCGGCUCAACCGGAGAAUAGCAUCAGAAACUGUUGAACUUGAGUGCAGAAGAGGAGAGUGGAACUCCAUGUGUAGCGGUGGAAUGCGUAGAUAUAUGGAAGAACACCAGUGGCGAAGGCGGCUCUCUGGUCUGCAACUGACGCUGAGGCUCGAAAGCAUGGGUAGCGAACAGGAUUAGAUACCCUAGUAGUC
RNAcentral lists this ribosomal RNA (465 nucleotides) under uncultured bacterium. RNAcentral's name for it is "partial 16S ribosomal RNA". It matches the Rfam family "Bacterial small subunit ribosomal RNA", at positions 338 to 795 of the family's 1533-position model. The record is from RNAcentral.